This 24949-nucleotide long non-coding RNA is filed under the name Durio zibethinus. RNAcentral's name for it is "long non-coding RNA (DZIB_LNC001050)". Lineage: Eukaryota; Viridiplantae; Streptophyta; Magnoliopsida; Malvales; Malvaceae. The record is from RNAcentral.
UUGUAUAUAAAUUGUUUUCUUCCUCCAUUUGAAUUCAGUAAUCCAACAAGUCACAACUCUGUUUAUGACAAAUUAAACAACCCAGUCAAUACUGAAUAUUGCCAAAAAGCUUUAAAAGAUAAUAUAUUUCGCAGGUUUCUUUUAUAUAUAUUUAUAUAUAUAUAUAUAUAUAUCUCAAAAUUUAUAUAUUUAUAUAUUAUUUACUUUGUAUCAAAUAUGUUUAAAACGCAAAUUAUCGUAUCACAUUUAUAUCCACAAAUCAAUCACAAUAUAUAUAUUUAUUUAUUUAUUUAUUUUUGUUCAACUCGUAUUCAAUUUUUAUUAAAAUUUUAGAUAUUAUCUCUCUUUAUUCUUAUGCUUUCAUUGGUUGCUUGUGUGUUAUUAGUUCCUAACAAGGAAUAAAAGAGAGUUUAGAAACUGGGUGUGGGAACCAAACAAAUUAAUGCCAAUCAAAUGUUGGUUGCUUAUGUACGAGAAUUCUCAUCUUUAAGCAAAAGGUAAAGAUCCCAUUGCUUGAAGGAAGCCUACUAAGAGACUAUAUAUAUUUGCACAAGCAGGAUUACCCUUUUUUUUUUUUUUUUGGCAAGAAUAUUGCCGAAAAUUGACCCACAAAAAGUAAGGCCUGAAGCCAUUAAGGCUCAUAAAAUUAUAAAAAAAAAAAAAAAAGGCUUGAAUAGUGUUGUCCCAAGAUCUGCAAGAUCGUUCUGGACUUAUUCUAAAUCGGUUUCUUGCAAGGCCGAAGACCAAGUGUGCUUACCUUCAGCUGACUCGAGUCUUCUCACCUAGUCCGUGGAUUCCAGAUCACCUUUCUAAUAUACCUUUCUUUAUAUUAACGUCGACAACUAAUUUUAUUCAAUAUGUUUUAUUGUUUUAAUUUAAAUUUAAUUUUGCAAUUGGACUUAAAUCAUCGGUUUUUGAAUCUAUUAUAUGAUUCAUUUUUAAAUGUUUUGGCAUAAAACUCAAUAUAGAUCUUAUAGUAAGGUCUGUUGCAUAAACUCAAAUAAAUACUUAAAAUGGUCUAAUAAAAGGAUCGAUAAAAAAUCCAUCCUUAAAAUCUAUUAAUGAUCUAUUAUUGGCCAUUAAAUAAAAAAUCAAAUUAAAAAAAUUUAAAAAUCAUAAAAUUUAAAACCAAAUAAAAAUAUAAAAAUUAUUAAAAAAUAAUAAAAAAUAAAAAUGGGCUUGGCCCAAAACAAAAUCAUGAGAGCUCAAAUGAAACUAAAAUAAAACAAAUAAAACUAAAAUAAAACAAAUGAAAGUAACCCAAAACUAGCCCAAAAAAAUAAAAGCCCAAGUGGGCCACAAAUGAAAGCUAAUGCCCUAAAGCAUUGGUUUCUUUUUAAAGCCCAAGAUAUGGGCAAGAAAUGGGGCCAUUCUAUUAGCCUUGUUCGGAGGUAAAGCCAUGUAAAAUAGGGAGGAAUCAUGCAUGAAAUUGGCAUGCAUAGGCUAGAACGUGAAGAAAAAAAAUUGAAAGGAAUGGCAUGAGGUGGAAAACGUGUGAAAGCAGUAGCAAAAAACAAUUCCAAAAAAAACAAAAGAGAGGGGAAAGCUUUCAAGGAGAGGCAAAAAGAAAACAAAAAAAAAAAGCAAAACAAAAGAAAAUUGGUAUAAAAGAGAACCAGAGAAAAGGAUACUAGAACAAAAAAAAUGAAAAAAACAAAAAAAAAAAGGCAUUCGUGAGAGGAGAAAUGAGUGGUGUUUAUAAGAAAGGUGGCAAUAGUAGAAAAUAGAGGAGAAAACCAGUAGGAAAAGAAGAGAAAGAAUGCUAGCAACAAAAAAAAAACUGUGUAAAACACCAACAGGAAAGAAAGGGGAAGCAUUCGUUCAAAAAAAUUGAGCAUAAAAUAAAAGAGAAAGCUUGGCCAACGAAGAGCUACAGCAUUUGGGAAAUUUGUUAAAAAGUUAUCCCUUUUGUUUCUCUUCUAAUUUGCUUCCGUCCACAUGAACACUGUUAUCAAUCUCAUGCGAGUUCUCCUUUUAUUGUCUCUGGUUUGGCUAAUAAAAGCUUAAGGUUUCAUGUUUUUUCUAUUCGAUUUGCAAAAGCUUAAAGCUAGGGAUUUAAAUUGCUAUAAAGGUUGCAUUUUUUAUCGCAUCGGGUUUGUUGUGGUUGCGAAUAUAACAGAGACCUUCGCGAUUAUUAUGACUAUCACAAUCAAGAAUUUUUUUUUUAAUUUUGCUCAACUUGCUAUAAAAUAUAAUAAUUUUAAUUGUUAAUCAUAAAACCUUUUAUUUUAUGAUUUUUAAAGUAAUUUAUAUCAUGUCAUGUGUUUUAUCUAUUUAAGAAAAAAUAUUUAUAUUAAAAUAUUCAUAUUUAAAAAAUUACUUAUAUGAUAAUUAGAAAAUAACAAGAGAUAAAUAAGCAUGUGAAAAAUAGAUAACUAUAACUAAUGAUAUAUUUAAUUAUUUAAUUAUCGUACUCAUCAAAUUAUUACCAAACUAUAUUGUGCAUAAAUCAGCGAACAAGUGAUUAGGUAUCUAUAAAUUAAAGCAUCCGUAAAUUAAGCAAAAGUAUUAUUAUUUAUAGGCUAAAAGAAUUACUUUUUAUGGGCCUACAAUAAAUCAAACUUGCCAACCUCCAUGCAGAGAGCAAUCUUUAACAACAAUAGCCUCCAAGUCUACUUCUUUUGCCUCUUGACUAAAUUGCACUGACUCACUCAACAACUUCUCAUCCCUUCACCCUUCAUUCAAUAAUUUUUCUCUCUAGACCUCCAUCUUAAUCCCAUUUCUUUUUUUUUCAGUGUGUGCUCUCUACUUGUCUGCCUCAACCUCAAGUCUUAUUCUCAUCUCUUGUCUCUCAUUUUAAGUCCCAGCAACUCUUACCCCCUUCUAGCAGUGCACUAUAGCCCAAACCAAUCCCAAACACACAAAAUCACUACAAUUUUGGAAAUUUAAAAAAAAAUAAUUUGAGUGUUGAAUUAAUUACUUACCUUAAACUGUAUGUGUUUGAUCUUGAUUGAAGUUGAAUUUAAGAGAAUUGAUAUCUUUAGAAGUCUUAAGUUUUGUAGUUUUUUUUUUUUUUUGCUAAAUUUGUGAAUUGAUGUCUAUUUUCUAACUUGUUGUUUUUGUUUUAAGUUUUAACUAGAGUCAAAUGAAAUUUUUUUUCUUGAAUUUUUGAAUGAAAAAUGUAGUGGGCAAUAGCGAACCGCUAUUACCGCAAUUCAACGUUAUGUCGCAAUUCAUGGCCACGAUACGUUGCUACAGUGAGGAUUCAAAUUCUCUUUCAUUUUUUCUUCAAUAGCGAUGACGGAUGGUGGGGUUACCACAUAAUAGUGGCCGCCAUACCAUUAUCCCACUGCUAUUUAAAUCUAUGCUUAAAGCUUUAUGAUUUUUUUUCAGUUUGGUUGGCAGAAGCUUAAAGCUUCAUUUUUUUUCUUUUCUCUUAUAGGUAGUUUUUUGCAUUAAAGCAUAAAGCUUCAAUCUUUUUAGGUUCACUAGUUUCCUUUUUCUACGUAUAGAUUAUCAUAAACAUAAGUUUUUCCUGUUUUGUUUUUCCUUUACUUUUUUUCCCACAUCGGGCCUGUAUGUGGGAGCUUAAAGCUCCAUCAUUCUCGAGCUUGUUGUUUAGUUGUUUGGGGAAUCCUAAAGUUUCUAUCUUUCCAUGGCUUCUGGCUUGUUUGCUCUAUAUUUGGGUUGUUAAGGGAUGUGGUUUCCUUUGCACGAGGGCUACUUGUGGGGAUGCUUAUAGUUUCACUUUUUCUUUAUAUUAGCAAGUUAGGAAAUCUGGUCAUUUUUCCUUCAUGUGCAUAAAGUUUUAAUGACUAUUAGACCUCCAUUUUCCCAUGUUUUAUAACUUUAACCAAAAGAGAGAAACUUGUAGGGAUAACAUGAAAUUGGCUUUGAAACUAUAUGGUAAGGAAUUCCUAAGCUUUUUUAGAUCAAUUUUUUUUAAAGAAAAACAAAAGUUUUAAAAUAUGCCAAAAUUCUGUAUGAUCUCAAUAAAAUUUAUUUUCAUGUAUGGCUCAUAUCAUUCAAGUCCAUACAUAUUUCUUUUAUGUUGUUUAAAUUUAAUUGCAAUUUAAAUUUCAUGCAUUUUUAAUUUUCAUAUUGGUUAAAUUUCUAUGCUCAUUUUAAUUUUUAUGCAAGUUUCAUGCUUUAAUUUACUUUUGAUACAAUUUAUUUUUCAUACAUUUUAGAUUUAUGCCAAAAAAAAGACUAAAUAAUAAUAAUAAAUAAAUAAUAUAUUUUAUAAGAAAGAAAAAGAUUUUAAAUACUUGCCAAGACGUUAAAGGAAUUACAAAUCGUGUUUUAAAAUUUUAAUUUUGCCUAGAUGUUGAAGAAUUAUUAAAUAAUAAAAAAUUAAAAAAUUAAAAGGAAAAUUAUAAUAAUAAUAAAUUUUAAUGGAAAAAGAAAAUAUAUAAAAAUAUAAAGAUUAAUUUUUUAGAGAAAUUAUGAAAAAUGAGUUUACUCUAAAAAUCUACCUAAAUAUUAAAGAUUUUUAAAGAGGUUCGUAAUAUUUUAAAACCUUGAAAUGAAAUCCUAAACUUAUGUGUAAACCCUAAACCCUAAAAUGAAACCUUAAACCUUAUGUGCAAAACUCAAACACUAAAUGAAAACCCAAACCAUAAAUGAAACUUUGAAACCUUAAAUUCACACAAAGCACCCAAAACUAUCCUAAUUUUUUAAGGAUUUGCAUCAAAACUUCUCAUUAAGUAAUUUAUUCCUGAAUAUCGUCUAGAAGAUGAGGUAUUAAAAAAAUUUUAUUUCAUUAAGAUUUUUCAUAUAGUUCCUUAAUCAAAACAAUAAUAAAAUUAAAUAUAAAUAUAAAUAUAAAUAGAAUUUUAAAUAUAAAUAGUCACAUCCAAACUUUGAUUAGAGGUUGAAGAGUCCAGGUAGCUUUUUUAUAUUUAAAGAUCCAAUCCUAAAGUCAUAUCUUAUUAUCGCUUAUGAGAUAUAUUUGCAUAUAUCACUUUUUGGAUCAAUAUUUGCACUUAUUGCACAUAUAUAUAUUAAUUAUUGAUGUUUAUGGUUAAUUAUAAUAUUUUUCAUUUUUACUGCAUAAAAAGUCUUAAAAAAAAUAAAAUUAAAAUAACAUUCCGAGAAAAAUAAUUUUUGUAUUUUGCCUAGAUGUUGGAGAGUUGCGAACAAUUAUCAUUUGCGAAGGAUAUUAUUUUUAUUUUUUAAAGGAAUGUUGUGAUAAAUCUUAAACAGAAAAGAUUAUCUUUGAAUUCUGUCAAUAUGCUAGAGAAUUAUAAGGCAUUUAUUUAAUUAAAAGAUUUUUGUAAUAUUCUUAAAUAAAGAUUUUUUAUUGAUUUUUUUUCUUCAAAAUGAAAAGAGUUAUUAUUAAAUCUUAAAUAAAAAAACUAUUUUUAUCCAAAAUUAUAGAUAGCUCAUAAUUAAUUGAUACCAAUUUUUAUGGGUGCUGUAGAGGUGCUAAGCUUUCCCCACACAUAAUCAACUCUCAAACCCAAUCCUGUUUUCAAAGACCAAAAUUAUUUUUUUAAUAAAUUUUAAACCCGUUUUAUUGUUUUAUUAAAAAGAUAAAAUUUUUUGGUGGCUAAUCACACCCUAAAAAAGAUUGGUGAUGACUUUCUUUUUUUUAUUUCAAAAUUUUUGCAUCUAGCAAUCGAGUCUCUAGAUCGAUACGUUAUGAUAGUUUAACAACACCACUGGCAUUGUUUUAAGAGUCAGGCCAAAAAAAUUUACUCAUGCACUAUCAAAAGUGUUGGAAUUAAUUCGUUUUAGUCAAUAUUUAAUUUAAGUCCCUCCAUGUUAAUUUCAAACAUAUAUAUAUAAUAUAAAUAAAUAAAUUGCAUGUUAGUUAUUGUCCUAUUUUGAUCUUGUCAUGUUGUUUUGAUUGAUAUAUUACUUCGCACACUUUGCAUAUUUACUUACAUGAAAUAGCUCUAGACCUAGAUUCUUUCCUUAUUUGGAAGAAGUUAAGUAGCUAGCUCUUAUGAGGUGAUUAUCACUGCAUUUACUAGUGAAACACUUUCACUUAAAUUGAAUCCUUUUUUAAUGUAGUUUGUAAUGAGUGAAGAUUGGGUUUCCUUUUUAGGCUAUAAUGAACGAUGAUGUAAGGAUUGAUCUGGGAACCUUUAGAUGAAUAAAUCCCGACCCAACAUAUUGCAAGUCAUAGGAAACCUACCUAAGUAGAGCAUGCCAUCUUUUUAGAAAAUCACCAAAAGUUAGGAUACUUUAUAUAUUCUGUUGUAUUAUAUGGUUGCUAUGUUGUUUCUAUUAUUUGUUUGUUUUGGUACUAAUUUAUUGUAUUUUUAUAGUCUUUAAUUUUGCCACAUACAUCAUAUAGGUAUUACAUUUUAAGAAAGGGUAUUGUUUUGGAUCAAUCACCAAUAAAAGAAGCUCUUAUGAAGCCAUCAGUAGUAUCAACCUCUUGUAGAAAUUAUUUAAAAGUUAAAAUCUAGUCAGAAACCACCGAGGCAAAAGAAAAAGACUACUUAAGGGUUGGUCAUAUCUCUUAACUUCCACAAUUAAUGUAUGUGGAUUUAAGUUAGAGUGAUAUAGUUAAGAUAGAAACCAUAUGGAAGCAGUGGGGAAUAAAGAAAAAAAAAAUCUUUUUCAAAGAAGUAUGGGGAUGUGGCACUGCUCAUGUCGAUGAAGAUUGAUGAUUCACUAAUUAAGGCCACAAUACAGUUUUAGGAUCCAUUUUAUCGAUGCUUUGUGUUCAAUCAACAAGACUUAACACCCACAAUUGAAAAGUACUCAUCCCUACUUCAGAUAAAAUCUACCAUUCAAGAUAAGAUUUACUAGAAGGAGCAGAAAACCCUUGGUUAUAGAAAGAAAUUAUCAAAGAUCAUAUAAAUAGGGGUCGAAGAAAUAGACAAGCAUAAGGAAAAAAAUAGGGUUGCGACAAUUUUAUAAGCAUUUUUGUUAAAGCAUAUAAAGAAACAUCUUAAUGAUGAUCACGGAUUGGAUUUGUUUACCUAGGCUAUGUAUUGGUUGAUGAUAUUCCCUAAGGUAUUAGGACACAUAAAAGCAUCAAUGAUUAACUUUUUCAAGCAAUUGGAUAAAGGUAUAAAUUUUUUGCCACCCAUCUUAGUGGAGACCAUUAGAUCCCUAAACUUUUGUCAAAAAAAUGGUGAAGGACAAUUCAUAGGAUAUGCUUAAUUGCUUUAUGUUAGGAUUUGAAAUCACUUUUAGGGAAAAUAGAAUAUAUCAUUUUAACUUUUCUCCACUUAUUUUGCUUCGAUUAAGAAGUACGUCACCAAGGAAUGGUCAAAGGAUUAGAUGAAAAGACAAUGGAUGACAUUUUUUCUGAAGCUGACUAGUGAGGCCAUAAUAUAGAGAGCACCAUGAAUGCUUCCCAUAGCCAUAUUAUAUAGUUGUGGGGAUGAGCCAUAAGUAUCAUUUCUAGAAAUAAAGGGGCAAUGAGCUAUGCGCAUCUUAUGGUCCAAAGGCAAUAUGAUUCUCUUCAGUUCAUUCCUAUGACUCAUGGACUCAAUUUGCUCGAGUUUGACUAUGGGACACCUAGUUAUAUGAAAAAGGUCCUAAAAGUCAUUAAGGCAUGAAAGCAAAUUAAUAGAAUAAACCCAACUAAAUAUGCAGAUAAUGUCACAGAAAAGUACUUUGUAUAGAGAAUAAAGAAAGUCAAUGAAGUUAGAACUUUGCCAACAAAUGUUGCAGAUCAACUGCCUAUUCCCAAAUCAGAGCUAGUAUUGUCAACUCUUGAGAUCGCCCAUUAAGAGUUUGAGAUUGCCUAUUGAGAGUUUGAGAUUGAAAAGAAAAAAAUGGAGAAAAUGAAUAUGGCAAUGAUAGAUCAAGUCAAUUAAUUAAGGUAUGAUUUGAUGAUGAAAGAUGAUGCAUUAUAAAAGCUAGCCAAAGAACGAAAAGUAUUAAAAAGGGAUUUGUAAUAUCUUCAUCAGAAGAGUAAAAUAUUUAGGUUAGACUAGGCCUUCAAAGGGAUCUAAAAGGGAAGUAGAAGAAUUGAAAAAAAUGGUAGAAUAUUGGAAGCAAAGAGCUAGGGAAAGUAAGAAAACGGUCACUACACUCACUUAAGAGUAGCAAACAUAAAAAGAUAAGUUUUCUGGAGUUUCUGCAAAGGUAGCCAAGUGCCAUGAGAAAAGUGAAAAGCUAAAGGCUAGAUUAAAAAAAGAGCAAAGUAGGAAUUCCAAUUUAUAGAUUGAGAAACAACAUUAGAAUAGGAGUUGAUGAGCUUAGAAUUCCAACUGACCAACACGGAGAUGGGAUUAACAUAGAAGAAUUGAUGUACCCUAUGGGAUUCACCCCACUUUAAGUUUAAGCUUCUUGGGGAAUCUAUUUGGAGCCAUCAAUAGCAUAACCUUAUACUUAUGUCUAUCUAUCUGCUAAUCAACCCUAGAUUCAUGUAAAUGUCAACCAAGGAUUGGGCGCUAUCGAUUUUAUUAUCAUACCAAAUUUAAAUGACCCUGCUAAACAAGAAAAGUUACAUGGCAUGUCUGAGCCAGUAGUGAAUGUUGAGACGUAAAACAAGUAUAACCUACUUGAAGAAAGACUCAGAGCCAUGGACGAAAAUGAUGUUUUUGGGAGUAUGGAUGUGAAUGAACUCAAUUGGUGCCUAACUUGGUCAUCCUAGCAAAAUUCAAGGUUCUUGCCUUUGAGAAAUUUAAUAGAAUGAAAUGUCCUGCUACUCUUAUUAUGAUGUUCUAUCGUAAAAUGGCAAGUCAUACUCAAAAUGACAAACUUUUGAUACACUGUUUUUAAGAUAGUUUAACUAGAUCGAUAGAGAAAUGGUAUGUCUAGUUGGAACAGAGCAGAAUCCAUUUAUGGAAAGACUUGGUUAGAGCUUUCAUGGCUCAGUAUAAACAUGUUAUAAACAUGACCCUAAGUAGGCUAUCAUUACAGAAUAUGAAAAAAAAGUUAACAUAAACUUUUAAGGAAUAUGCACGUUAAUGGAGAGAUACAACGACCUAAGUCCAACCACCACUAAUUGAAAAAGAGAUUAUUAUACUAUUUGUUAGCACAUUAAAGGCCCCAUAUUAUGACAAGCUAGUAGAAAAUGCUACGAAAAAUUUCUCUGAUAUGGUGAUUUUAAGAGAAAUGAUUCAGAAUGUCAUUAAAAUUGGCAAAAUUGAAGGGCCUAAAACUUUCAACAUUAGGAAGCUAGCAAAUCAAUGAAAGAAAGAGUAAGAGUCACAUGCUGUGUCUAUGGGAAAUCCCUCAUUAUACUCAUUUACCCCAUAUAACCCAAGACCAUAAUUCCCCAUUUUUUAUCUGAUCACCAAUUAAGUUAACCCAAACCAUAUCAUUUUCAAGCAUAUUAACAACCACUAUACAAGCAUGACUUUAAUCCAUAACUAGUUAAUUUCACUUCCAUAUUGCCAACUCAGCCAACCAAUUCAAACUAAAAAAACUCACAAAGCAAUAAUAAUCGAUAUGACCCUAUCUUUAUGUCAUACACUAGCUUGUAUUCAUAAUUGGUGAAAGGCCAUCUUUUUUUCUCUGCUUGUGUGGAACCAUUGAAGCCAUCCUACCUGAAAUGGUAUAACCCCAAUGCCAAGUACAGCUAUCAUUUUGGUGUAAUAGAUCAUUCUACUAAGAAUUGCACGACUUUAAAACAUAAGGGGUAGUGAUUGAUAAAUAAAGGUUUGCUAAAUUUCGAUACUACGGCUAAGCCUACUAUUAGUAGAAACCAUCUUAUCAAUCAUAUCGGUGGCCUACUAAUGUAGUGAUGGAUGGGCAAGGGUUGAAAGUGAAGAGAUAAGUUAGUGAGUUGGAAACCUUAAUGAAAAAGGUUUUCAAUUGUCUUAUUAAGACAAGAAUGAUUCAACUUGCAAUUUUUGACAAUGACAGUGUAGAUAAUGAUCAAGAUUAUCAAUUUUAUGAAAGAAAAGAGGGACAUAUAAUCAAGACUACCAAGAAUUUUGGAUGAUAUUGCAACAAUUGAUAAAUAAAGGUGUGAUAAAAUUUUACUUUGAAGAUAAUGUUGGCAAUGUGAGUAUGAUAAAUAACUAUUCAGAAGUGCCCUUCAUUCAAAAGCCUAUCACCAUAUUUGAUGACGAUGAAACAAAGCUAGCUUUGAGAAAAACUGAUGCAUUUCCCUAAAGCACCAUUGACAAUCUAUGUUCUUAGUCCAUUUUCUUACAAGAAUGAUAAGUCAAUCCCAGGGGACUAUAAUUAUGAACUAGAGAUCCAAUAGUCUGGUAAUAGAGCAACUAUAAAGAAUAAAGACUGUGAGCACACCACGAAUAUAACAGGAAUAGAAAGAAUGACUAGGAGUGGCCAUUGUUAUACACUUGAAAUGAUAGAAAUGGUCAAGAAAGGAAAAACAAAAGAAGGAGAAGAGGUCACAAUAAAAGGAGAAUUGAUCCUAUUGUGACAAACCCAAAAGUGCAGUAUAAAAAACCUAUGUCUGAGAAAAAAGUUUACAAAUUUCUUAAGAUUAUCAGGCACAAUGAGUACAAUGUAGUCGACUAAUUUAAUAAGUUGUCAGCUUGUAUUUCAUUAUUGUCACUACUACUUAGCUUUGAACCACAUAAGAAUACCCUUUUGAAAAUGCUUAAUCAGGUUUAUGUUAUGCAUAAUAUUUUUGUUGAAAAUGUGGAUCACAUGGUGGGGAACAUCAUAGCCCUAAAUUUUAUUACUUUUAAUGAUUAUGAAAUACUUCUCGAAGGACAAGGUAGUGUUAAAGCCUUACACGUUAUUGUUAAGUUCAAAACUUAUACCAUGGCCAAGUUUUUUUAUCAAUAAUGGGUCAUCCAUUAAUGUGAUACCUAUGACUAAGCUAUCAAAACUAUCAAUAGACCAAUCCCACAUGAAAAACAACCAUAUGGUGGAAAGGGCAUUUGAUGGGGUAUGGAGAAAAAUGAUCAAUGACAUAGAAAUUCCAUUAUAGAUCGACUUAUGUACCUUUAAUAUCUAGUUUUCAGUUAUAGAUAUUGCACUCUCAUUUAGCUGUUUGCUUGAAAGAUCUUGGAUUCAUACAACGAGAGCUAUACCUCAAUCCCUACAGUAAAAGGUAAAGUAUAUUGUUGAAGGAAAACAAGUUUGUUUGGAUGGAAAAGAAGACCUACUAGUAACCAAAACCUUGACUUCUCUUUAUGUCGAGGUUGUAGAAAAAGCACCCAAGUGCUCAUUUAGAACUUUUGAGAUAAAAAGUGCUACUUAUGUUAGAGAAGGGUCAAAAGAUACUUGUGCUCUGAUUGUCAAAACCAUAGGUACAAUAAUCAAGCAGACCAUUGGCAAAGGUUGGCUAGCUAGACAAGGUUUGGGAGUAGCUUUGCAAAGAAUUAAGAAAACACUAGUCAUAAUUGAAAAUAAGAAGAGGUGGGGUGUAAGUUACAAACUUUCUACUACUAAUAAAAUAAGGAUGAUGAUGGAGAAGAGAAAGAAAACAAUGGCAUGCCUUAAAAGGGCAAUAUUCAGUUUAUAGAGGAAAAAUAUUCCCUUAUCUUUAUGAGACGUUCAGUUUUAAUGGAUAUCUCUAUUGGAUCAUUAGGAGUGAAAAAAGGGAAACCAACUACUAGAAUAAAGGAAGCUUUCUCUCAUCAAAGAAGGUGGAGAGGAUAUGUAAGAAGAGGAUAUGUUCUUUUUUCUUUUUUUAGGAUUAGAAGAUUAAAGAGUGGUGUAUUGUUGUUGUUAUCCUUGGAACAUCUAAACUUAAAAUUCCAAUUACUUCUACACAAAAGCAUAUGGAGGUCAAAUGUAUGGGCUAGUUUUAAAAGUAUCGUAAGUAAAGUGAUAAAUGUAAUACAUUUCACAUAUAACAUCUUACCUAUAUUCUUUUUUUGUUGUUUACGUUUUUCCUUCUUUUACCCAACUUAGCCUAUAUUUCUUUGUGAUUAUACCCAUUUUCAGGUAUUUAAAUAUGAACAUUUUCAUUUAAAAAACUCAAUUUACAUUAGUGAGCUUGAUAAUGAUGUUGACUCUGAAUAUUAUAAUUUGCCUUAUGAUUUGUUAAAUGGAUAAAACAUGAAAAGAAACUUAUAAAACUCCAUCAAAAGACCAUAGAUCUGUUAAAUUUAAGAGAUUAAGAGAAUAAGAUUGAAGUCAAGAUCGAUACUUCACUACUGCUAACGAAAAAGCAGAAGUGAAUAAACUUAUUGCAAAAAUAUGUAGAUAUAUCUACAUGGUCAUAUCAAGAUAUGCUUGGGCUUAGCACGGAUAUUGUUGAACAUAAAUUGCCUUUAAUGCUAGACUACUGACCAAUACAACAAAAGUUGAGAUGUAUGAAGUUAAAGAUAUUGUUGAAAAUAAAAGAAAAGGUAAAAAAAGUAGUUCAAUGCGAGCUUUUUUAAAGUAGAAAAAUACCUAGAAUGGGCGGCCAAUAUAGUCUCAGUUCCCAAAAAAGAUGAGAAACUGAGGAUGUGUGUGGAAUGUUAAGAUUUAAAUAGGGUUAGCCCAAAAGAUAACUUCUCAUUUAUAUAUUGAUACCUUUGUGGGCAAUACUACCAAGCAUUCUACCUUUUUAUUCAUGGAUGGAUUUUUUAGAUAUAAUCAAAACAAAAUUGCCCAAGAAGAUAUGGAGAAAAUCACAUUCGUGAUGAUGUGGGGUACAUUUUGUUAAAAAAAAUCAUGCCCUUUGGGCUAAAAAAUACUGGUAACACGAUGAUAAGAUAUUUUUUUAUGACAUGAUACACUAAAAGAUAAAAAUGUAUGUUGAUGAUAUAAUAGCAAAGUCUCAAGAAGGAGAAAAUCAUGUGGCUAACCUUAGAAAUCUCUUUGAAAGGUUGCAAAAGUAAUAGUUCAAGCUAAAUGUAGCUAAAUGUAUAUUCGGCAUCAACUUGAGAAAAUUGCAAGGGUUCAGAGUCAGUGAAAGGCGCAUUGAGGUAGAACCUAAUAAGAUUCGAGCCAUUCAAAAUUUAGUAGCUCCAUAUAUGCAAACGGAAGUGAGAAGCUUUCUAGAACUAUUGAAUUACAUUUCUAAUUUUAUAUCCUAAAUCACUUCAAAAUGCGACCUAAUCUUUAAGUUGCUGUGUAAAAACAAUCCUAGCACGUGGGAUGAAGAAUGUCAAAAUGCUUUCAAAAGAAUUAAGGAGUAUUGGAUAAGCCCACUAAUGUUGGUACCACCCAUUAUAGAAAGGUUGUUAAUUUUGUAUUUAAAAGUGCAAAAGAAUUUGAUAGGACGUGCAUUAGGGGAAAGAGAUAAAACUGGCAAGAAAUACUAAGCUAUUUAUCACCUGAGCAAAAAGUUUAACGGAGUAUGAAACUAAAUACUCCUAGUUGGAAAAAAUGUGCUACAUGUUUGCGUGACUACCAACAGGCUUAAGCAGUAUAUGCUUAAUCAUACGACCUAGCUUAUAUUAAAGUUAGAUCCUCUUAGGUACAUUUUUUAGAAGUCAUCUCUAUGAGGUAGAAUAUCUAGAUGGCAAGUCAUGCUUUUGGAAUAUGAUAUUAUGUAUGUGUCAUAAAAAUCCAUAAAAUGAGGUGCAAUAGCUUUUUUUUUUAUCGAUAGGGCUACAAAAGACUAUGAACCUAUAAAGUUUGACUUCUGGGUUGAAGAGUUAAUGACAAUCUUCCAAGACAAAGAUGAAAAACCUAUGAAAAAGUUAUGGAAGAUGCUUUUUGAUGGAGUAUCUAAUAUAAUGGGGCAUGAUAUUGGGGCAAUAUUAAUAUCCUCAUAAAGAAAUUAUUACCCUAGCACUGCAAGACUAGAUUUUAAUUGCACAAAUAAUGUAGCUAAAUAUGAGGCAUUUGUCAUGGGAUUACAAAUGGCCAUCGAAAAAAAGAUUGAUAUGUUAGAAGUGUAUGGGGAUUCAACCCCAAUAAUUUACCAACUGAAAUGUGAAUGGGUGACCAGAGACCCUAAAUCGGUGUUAUAUUAAAGGCAUACAACUAAUUUAAUUAAGAAGUUUAAAGAGGUACAAUUGUAACAUAUCUUUUGAGAAGAAAAUUAGAUUACUAAUGCAUUGGCUAUUUUGAUCGCGAUGCUCAAGUUAAAUGCCAAUACAAAAACCUAGCCCAUUAGAGUAUAAAUACAGGAUUCACCAGUCCAUUGUUCAAAUGUUGAAAAAGAAGCAGAUCAUCGGCUUCGAUAUCAUGAUAUUAUAUAGUAUAUUAAGUGUCGAGAAUAUCCUGAGUAGGCCUCAAAGAAUGACAAGAGGAUUAUUUGGAGCUUAACAAUAGGGUUUGUACUCGAUGGAGAAAUCCUGUACAAAAAGAGUCGAGAUCAGAUAUUGCUAAGAUCUGUAGAUGCUCAUGAAGCAAGAAAAAUAUUAUAUGAAGUUUAUGAGAAGAUUUGUGGAACACAUGCCAACGGAUAUAUAAUGGCAAAACAAAUAAUGAAAGUAGGUUAUUACUAGUCUACAUUGGAAAAUGAUUACAUCAAUUAUGCCAACAAGUGCCAAAAGUGUCAAAUUUAUGAAGAUAAAAUUCAUUCCCCUCUGGUCCCACUACACGUGUUGGUACCUCUAUGGCCAUAUUCUAUGUGGAAAAUGGAUGUGAUCAGUCCUAUAACCCCAAAAACUUCAAAUGGGCAUCGUUUCAUCUUCGUGAUAAUUGGUUACUUCACCAAACGGAUGGAAACAACCUCUUAUGCUAGUGUUUUGUGAUCAAUGGUAUGCAAAUUAAAAAAAAAAAGAUAAUAUACUGACAAAGGGUCUUAAAAAGAAUUAUCUCUGAUAACGGUAGCAAUUUUAAUAGUAAAUUGAUGAAAGAUGUGUGAUCACAAUUCAAAAUAAAGCAUUAUCAUUCAGCACCAUAUCGCCUAAAGAUAAAUGGCAUGAUAAAGGCUACAAACAAAAACAUAAAAAGAUAUAUUGAAAAAGAUGAUUGACACAUAUAGGGACUGGCAUUAGAAAUUACUUUUGUUUUUCUUACCUAUAGGACAUCAGUCCAGACUUCAAUAAGAGCUACCCCAUUUUCACUAAUAUAUGGGAUGGAGGCAGUGUUAUCGAUGGACGUAGAAAUUCCUUCUAUAAGAGUUUUGGUGGAAGUGAAAUUGGAUGAGGUAGAUUAGGUUUAAGAUCAUUUUGAACAAUUAAACCUCAUAAAAAAAUAUGCUUUCAGACCUUUGUCGUAGGGAAAUGUAUCAAAAGAUGAUGAUGCUGACGUAUGACAAGAAGUUGCAACCCUGACAUUUUCAUGAAGAAAAAAUGGUUCUAAAGAAGAUCUUGCCAAAUCAAUAAGAUACUAAGAAAAAGUAGGCACUUAAUUAUGAAGGCCCAUAUAUAGCGAAGAAGUCAUUAUUUGGUAGAGCCCUAAUCUUAGCAAAAUUGGAUGGUGAAGAAUUGCCAACUUCAGUAAAUUCUAAUGCUGUAAAGAAAUAUUUCACUUGAGAAAAAAAAGAGAAGAAGAAAAAAAAAUAACAAAAAAAGAGGAUUCGAACUGAAAACUUGCAAAGGGCAAUUUGAACUAAAAAGGGGUUGUUUAAGUUAAAAACUUAAAAAGGGCUUAAAUGAAGAAAAAGUUAGGAAAAAAUUCUUCAAAUCUGAAGCGAAAAAGUACAAAAUGGAUAGAUUAAAGAUAGGGUAAAAAAGAAUAAGUUUAGGGUAAACUUUUAUCAGCUAUAAGUCAUGGGGUAAGGAUUAGUCAUAAGAGUUCAAAUAUAGUAAGAUCGCUAAUGUAAUAAGUUUUUUAAAAAAGAUUUGGUCUAAAUUGACUUAGUUUGUCAAUGUUCAUUAUUUAAAGAAAUGAUAUUUGAUUCCCUGAAUGCCAUUUGAAUUUUUUGAUCCUUUAUGUUUCAAUAAAAUUAUUUUUUCCUUUCCAAACCAAAAUAAAUAUCUCAUCAUUAAUUAAAGUUCAUAUUCAACUUUGAACAUAAAAUCAUUGCAUUUGUCACAGAAAUUGGGGUAAUUAUUGAUAAUGCUUAUAAUAAACCAAUGUGUUGCUCAAAAAGAAGAAUGGAAAGGUAACAAAAGAUAACAAUACAUGAAAGUAAGAAUUAAUUAACUAAUAAGAAGGGUGGAUAAAGAAAGAACUUGGGAAGCUUCUAGAUAAGUAAGGGUCAUAGAAUACAUUUGUCAAAAAAGGAAAAAAAGAAAGAGAAGGAAAGAAAGAAACAAGGCAUGAAAACAAAAUGGGAAAAUAUCCAAAGCAACCUUUACAGUUUGAAAGAGCUGAACUAAUCUUGAACAUUAAAUUAACAUGAUCAAUAAACACAUGCUAUAAAUCCUUGAUUGCCUUUCUAUCAUCCAUAUCCAUUAUAGUAGUCACAUGUGUUACAUACAUUCUUUUAAUAAAUCAUGUUAAAGGUUUUUCAAGAAAAGAGGUUAAAUUGAACCAGAAUGUUUUUUCAAAACAAGGUUUCAUUAGCAUGAGAAAGAAAAUUUGCCCCUAGUCACUUUUAUUUCAUAACUCGUGGUUCAAUCCCGAUCAUCCUUAUUUCUUGACUUGUGAUUCAAUUCUCAGUCAUCUUUAUUUCUUGACUCACAAUUCAAUUCCUCAUCAUCUUUAUCUCUUAACUCAUAGAUUAAUCCCUAAUCAUCCUUAUUUUCUAACUUGCUGUUCAAUUCUCAGCCAUCAUUAUUUUUCAACUUGAGUUUAGUCCCAAUUAUCUUUGUUUAUUGACUUACGACUUAGUCUUGGUCAUUCUUAUUUUCUGACUUAUGGUUUAGUACUUAUUGUUCUUUGUUUCUUGACUUGUGGAUCCGUCUCGAUCAUUUUUAUUUCUCGACUUGCGGUUUAGUCCCAGUCGUUUUUGUUUCUUGACUUGUGAUUCAGUUCUGAUCAUUCUUGUUCCCUAACUUGCAAUUCAAUCCCAAUCUUUCUUAUUUUUUGACCUAUGGCUCAAUCAUGAUCAUCUUUAUUUUCCAAGUGGCUAUUUAGUCCUAAUCAUCCUUUAUUUCUCAACUUACGAUUUAGUCUCAAUCGUUUAUAUGUUUUAAUUUGUUGUUCAAUCCGACCAUUCUUAUUCUCUGAUUUAUAUGUUAAUCCUAAUCAUUUGUCGCCAUUUGUGGAUUAGUCUAGAUCACUUUCAGCUUAGAUAUGAAAAAAAAAAAAAAACUCUCCUUAAGAUGUAGCAUCUGAACAAAUUAGUUGUUAAUGUCUUUGUAUUAUUCUUAAUCCUAAAAAAUAUGCAAAAAGUGAUAGCAAUAGAUAUUUAAUUUUGUUUAAUAUAUUCUAUCUUUGUAAUCCAAGCUAAUUUUUACAAUUAGGCUUAAACCAUCAUUUUUCGAGCCCACUACACUAUCCAUUUUUAAAUGCUCUGGUAUGAGACCCAAUGUUGGUCCCAUAAUGAGGCCCAUUGUAUAGACUCGAAUUAAUACCUAAAUGGCAUAAUAAAAUACCUAAUAAAUGGCAUAUCCUUAAAGUCCAUUAAUGACAUAUAUAUAUAUAAAUUAUUAAAUAAAAACCCAAAUAAAAUAUAUAUAAAAAUUAUUAAAUAAAAAACCAAAUAAAAAUAUAAAAAUUAAUUAUUAAAAAAAAUAAAAAAAGGGCUUGGCCAAAAAUAAAAUCAUGAGAGCCUAAACAAAGCUAAAAUAAAACAAAUGAAAGAAGCCCAAAAGUAACCCAAAAAAAUAAAAGCCCAAUUGGGCCACAAAUCAAGGCUAAGGCCCUAAACCAUUAACUACUCUUUAAAGCCCAAGACAUGGCCAAGAAUUGGGACCAUUCGGUUUAACCUUGUUUGGAGGAAAAGCCAUGUAAAAAAAGAGGAAAAUAAUGGAAAUCAUGCAUGAAAUGGCAUGCAUAAGCUAGUACAUGAAAAAAGCAAAAACUAAAAGGAAUGCCAUGAAGUGGAGAAUGUGGAUGCAUGAAAGCAGUAGUGAAAAACAGUUCCAAGAAAAAGAGAGUGAAGAGCUUUCAAGUAGAGGCAAACAAAAAAAAGCAAAAACAAACGAAAACUGGCAAAAAAAGAGAACCAGAGAAAGGGAUACCGGAACAAAAAAAAAAGAAGCAUUCGUGAGAGGAGAAAGGAGUGGUGUUCAUGAAAAGAGUGGUAGAAGCAAAAAAAAAAAGAGAAAACUAGUAAGAAAAGAAGAGGAAAAAUGCCAGCAGCAAAAAAAAAAAGAUAAAACACCAGUAGCAAAACAAACGGGGAAGCAUUCGUUCGAAAAAAACUAAGCGUUAAACAAAAAAGAAAGCUUGGCCAACGGAGAGCUAUAACUUUUGAAAAGUUUGCUGAAAAGGUAUCUCUUUUGUUUCUCUUCUAAUUCGCUUUCAUGCACAUGAACACUGUUAUCAUUUCCAUGUGCAUUCUUUUUUUAUUGUCUCUGGUUUGGCUGAUAGAAGCUUAAGGCUUCAUGUUUUUUCUAUUCAGUUAGCAAAAGCUUGAAGCUUUAUAGUUUUUCUCUUUUCAGUUUGGUUGGCAGAAGCUUAAAGCUCAUUUUUUUUUCUUUUCUUUUCUUCUGUCAUUAGUUUUUGCAUGGAAGCAUAAAGUUUCAAUUUUUUUAGGUUCUCUGUUUUCCAUUUUCUACAUAUAGAUUAUCAUCGACACAAGUUUUUCCUAUUUUGAUUUUCCUUUCCUUUCUUUCCCGCAUCGGGCUUGUAUAUGAGAGCUUAAAGCUCUAUCAUUCUCUAGCAUUCUAUCUCGUUAUUUGGGGAAUCUUAAAGCUUCCAUCUUUCGGUGGCUUCUGGCUUGUUUGCUCUAUACAUGGGAUGCUAAGGGAUGUGGUUUGCUUUGCACGAGGGUUACUUGUAAGGAAGCUUACUUUAUUUUUCUUUAUAUUUGCAAGUUAGGGAGUCUGGUCCAUUUUCCUUUGUAUGCAUGAAGUUUUAAUGACUAUCAGAGCUUUUUUUUCCCAUGUUUUAUAACUUUAAACAAAAGAGAGAAAGUUGCAGGGGUAACAUGAACUUGGCUUUGAAACUGUAUGGCAGGGAGUCUUAAGUUUUUUUAGAUCGAAUUUUUCUUUUUUCAAUGAAAAACCAAAAUUUUAAAAUAUGCUAGAAACUUGUACGCCCUCAAUAAAGUUUAUUUUCAUGUAUGCUUUAUAUCAUUCAAUUCAUGCAUAUUUCUUUUAUGUUGUUUAAAUUUAAUUACAAUUUAAAUUUCAUGCAUUUUUAAUUUUUAUCUUGGUUAAAUUUUUAUGUUCAUUUUCAUUUUUAUGCAAUUUUCAUGCUAUAAUUUACUUUUGAUAUAAUUCAUUUUUUAUACAUUUUAGAUUUAUGUAAAAAAAAUAAAAAAGACCAAACAAUAAUCAUAAAAAAUAUAUAUUUAAUAAAAAAGAAAAAUAUUUUUAAAUCUCUGCCAAGAUGUUGGAGGUAAUUAAAAAUCAUGUUUUAAAAAUUUAAUCUGGUCUAGAUGUUGAGAAAUUAUUAAAUAAUAAAAAAUAAAAAUAAUAAAAGCUAAAUAAUAAUAAAAUAGUAAAAUUUUAAUGGAAAAAAUAUAUAUAAAAAAUAUAAAAAUAUAAGGAUUCAUUUUAUAGAGAAAUUAUGAAAAAUAAGCUUAUUCCAAAAAUCUACUUAGAUGUUAGAGAUUUUUAGAGAGAUUCAUAAAUUUUUAAAAGCUUAAAAUGAAACCUUAAACCUUAUGUGUAAACCCUAAACCCUAAAAUGAAACCUUAAACCCUAUGUGUAAAACCCAAACCUUAAAUGAAAACCCAAACCAUAAAUGGAAUUCUAAAACCCUAAAUUCACUAAAUGUUCCCAAAACUAUCCUAAUUUUCUAAAGAUUUGUGUGAAAACUUUCCAUAAAGUACUCAAAUACCACCUAAAAGAUAGGGUAUUUAAGAAAUUUUAUUUAAAUAAGAUUUUUCAUAUAAUUUCUCAGUCAAAACAAUAAUAAAAUUAAAUAAAGAAUAAAAAUUAAAAUGGGAUUUUAAAUAUAAAUAGUUGCACCCAAACUCUCCCAAGAGGUUGAAGAGUUCAGGUGAUUUUUUUAUAUUUAAGGACUCGAUCCCAAAGUCACAUCUCAUUAUCGCUUAUGACAUGCAUUUGCAUAUAUCCCUUUUUCUAUCAAUGUUUGCACUCAUUAUGCAUAUAUAUAUUUUAUUUAUUGACAUUUAUAGUUAACUAUAGCAUUUUUCAUUUUUACUGCAUAAAAAGGUUUUCAAAAAUUUGAUUUCAAAAAAAUAAAAUUAAAAAAACAUUUCAAGGAAGAUAAUUUUUAGUACUCUACCUAAAUAUUGGAGAGUUGCCAAUAAUUAUCGUUUGCAAAAAAUAUUUUUUUUAAGGAAUGUUGCAGUAAAUCUUAGACGGCAAUGAUUAUCUUUGAAUUCUGUCUAUAUGUUGGAGAAUUAUAUGAUAUUUUUUUAAUCUAAAGAUUUUCACAAUUGUAUUUAUUGAUUUUCUUUCUUCAAAAUGAAAGGAGUUAUUAUUUAAUCUUAAAUAAAGACCAUUUUUAUCCAAAAUUAUAGAUAAUGCAUGAUUAAUUGAUACCAAUUUUUAUAGGCAUUGUAAGGGUGCUAAACAUUUUCUAUGCAUAACUGACUCUUGAACCUAUUUCUAUUUUCAUAAACCAAAAUUUUCUUUCUAAUAAACUUUAAACUCGUUUUAUUAUUUUAUUAAAAAGAUAAAAUUUUUAGAUAGUCAAUCACACCCUAAAAAAGAUUAUAAUGACUCCCCAUUUUCUUGAUUUCAAAAUUUUUACGUUUAGUGAUCAAGUUUCCAAACCGAUACAUUAUGACAAUCAACAAAAACACUUUUUUAAUCACAUUAUUAAAUACACUUAAUAUUUAAAAUAUAAUUCUCUAUUUCUUCUAAAUACACCUUAUCCUAAUAGUAUCACAUUUCCCUUCAUAUCUUUUUCACUCUCUUUUUCAUUCUCUCACUUUUAAUCCAAAUUCAAUACAAACUUAACCCUAAAACCAUUAAACUAACCCCUAAAUCAUCAGGUUUUUAUUCCAUUUAUUAUAAGAUUUCGAGAUUUUUAUUCAUUAAUUAGGUUGAAAUCAUGCAAAAAUUAAGAUUUUUACGAAAGUUUUUUGGUCCAAAUCAUACUUCUCAAAAAUGGAUUUUGUAGAGUCUUAAACAUUUUAUAGAGUGUAAAUGGGGUGUAAAAUUUUUUUCAUUGAAAUCAUGUUUCUCAUAAAUGAAUUUCGAGAGUUUUAAACAUCAAAGUGUAAAAAUGGUAAAGUUAUAAUUCACUAAAAGAUAAAUUUGGUAUUUUAUAUAUGAGUAUUUUUGGCAAAAAAAUAUUGAAGCAUGAAGAAAAUUUUUCAAAAAUUUUGAAGGCUUCUCAAAAAUGGAUUUCCAACAGCAUUUUAAAGCUCUCAAAACUGGAUUUUCAAAGAUCUUAAAUGUUUGGGUAUAAAAAUGGUAAAAUUACAAUUAACUAAAAAAUAAAAUUAAUAUUUUAUAUAUGAAUAUUUUAAAAAUUUAUAUAUUAAGGUAAGAAGAGAAAUUUGAGUGGUAUAUUUAGAACCACUCUUCUAAUAUGAAUGGGGGAAUUCUGUUUGCACUCUAUUUAUUACUCUAUACACCUCACUUUUAAAUACACCAUAAAUUCAAAACUCAUGAAUUUCCUAUUCCUACUAAAUACACCCCCACUCCCCACUCCCAACUUUUUAUUUUCCAUUCCUACAUUUUCUUUCUUCUUCUCUCUUCAUUUUUCAAUCCAAAAAACAAAAAAAAAAAAAAACCCUAUGUCCAUUAAAUUAACCCCAAAUCACUUGUAAUUUUUAGUUUUUCAGUGAUUAAAGGUAAGAUUCUUACCUUAUUUUUUAUUGAUUUUGGUUGAAUUAUGGUUGAAAUCAUGUGAAUAUAAGUUAGGGUUUGCAAUAGGAUUUAGGAGAAAUGGAGCUUCUUAAAAAUGGAUAUCCAAGAAGCUUUAAAGCUUUCAAAAAUCCUUUUUUUAAAAAAUUAAAAAAUUCUUGGAUAUCCUGUAAGGCUUCUUAGAUAUAUAUUUUUGAAAAUCAUUAAAGCUUCUUGGAAAUGCUUUUCGAAAUAGAUUUUCAAAAAGACUUAAAACUUCUUGAAUAUUCAUUUUUGAAAAGUCUUAAAGUAUUUUGGAUAAAGUUUUUGGAUAUCCAUAUCCACAAACUUUUAUGAACUUUCGAAAGUUGAUUUCUUACCUUUAAUUACUAGAAACCUUACUCAUGCAUAUUCAUGUCCCGAGAGCUAUUCAAGAAUGACUUAAUUAAAAAUAUAUACACUUAUGGACCCAUUUACUUGAUCAUGUGUGCAAAUGAAACUAAAAUGGAUACUCUCAAACAUGCAUGGCCCAAACUUGUUCUUUCUAUUAAGACUCCAAAAAACCAAGAACACCUUUUUUUUUAUUUUCUUGUUUUGCAUGGGCAAAAGGAAAUUCUUGGUUUUUUGGUCUAAAGACAAGAACAUCAUUAUACCUAUGCAUGCUUGAGAACUAAUGGGUCACUUUCAUUUGCACAUAUGAUCAAGUAAGCAUAGGCACAUGACUCAACCCCUCCCACCCAUGCUUGCUUGAAAAAUUGCUCCAAUAUUCCCACAUUUGUAUUAUUUAUUUUAAGAUUAAAUGUAUUUAUUUUAUUUAAAUUAAAAAUAAACAUUAUUAAGAGUUUAUAAUUAAAUAUAUAUUUAAAUAAAAAUUUAUGUAUUUUCAAAAAUAGAUUUUUGAGAAUACAAUGUAAAUCUCAAAAAUGAAAUUUUGAAAAUUAUUUUGUAUUCACGAAAAUUUUGAAAAAUACAAUUGCAAUCUCGAAAAUCCAUUUCUGAGAUUGCAAUAUAAUUCUCCUAUCGUUAAAUUUAAAAGAAAAAGAACGGUUAAUUGUAUAUAAGUAAUUGAGGACAUUUUUGUCAUUUACUAAUGGCUAAAAUUGGUAUUUGCUAUGUGGGUUUUUUGACAGGAAAUUUAGGAGCUAUAUAAAGAAUAUGAGUAGUGCACAUUUAUUGUAUAAAUUUUUUUCAAAGUUUUUAUUUUUUAUUUUUUUCAAACCUAAACCCAACUCGACCUGAUAUUGUAUAAAUCAUACCCGACUAAUUCGACCUAAAAUUAAUAAAAUAUUAUUUUUAAAAUAUAAAAUAUUACUUUUUAAAAAUAAAUAUAUAAUAUAUAUAAUAUAUAUAAAUAAAAAAUUAAAUAAUUAAUUAAAAAAUAAUUUUUAUAUAAUAUCGGAUUGAGUCAGGUCGGGUUUGCCUAAAACACAAAUCCGAUUCGAUCUCGAUUUUUUCUUAACAUUACCCGACCCAAAAUCUAAUUUUCAAAAAAAUAAAAAAUCGACCCUAUGAGAUCGGGUAGGGUCGAAAAUCACCAUAGGCGGGUUGGGCUACCAACCUUAUUUAUACGUUGACAAACACCUGUUUGUAUAGAAAAUGCUUUAAAUAAUUCUUUCAUAUUUUAGGAUUUAUGGUUAAUAUAUUUAUAAAAAAAUUAUUUAAGAUGUUUUUUGUUAAAAAAAAAAAGCUUAAAAAGAUUAUUUUAUGCGUUUUUGUACAAAAAAUGCCUUAAAUAAUUUUUUUUAUAUUUUAGGAUUUAGAGUUAAUAUUUUUAGGGUUUAGGUUAAUUUUUUUAUAAAAGCAUUAUUUAAGGCAUUUUUUAUACAAAAACAUCUUAAAUAAUCAUUUUAUUUUUUAUAAAUGGAUUAUUCAAAGGUUUUUGUAUAAAAAAUACUUUAAAUAAUCUUUUUAUAUUUUAAGGUUUAAGUUUAAUAUUUUUAUAAAAGGAUUAUUUAAAGUGUUUUUUGUACAAAAAUACCUUAAAUAAUCUUUUUAUAAAUAAAAAAAUAAUUAUUAAAUAUUCAUAAUAUAAAAAAAUAAAAAAACUAUUUAAGACGUUUCUGUAUAAAAAUAUUAUUUAAGACAUUUUUAUAUAAAAAAAUACUUUAUGUAGACACUCAUUUUUUAGUAAGCUUCAAAAUAAAUAAUAAAAAAAGAUAAAUAAUAGAUAAAUAGAAGCUAAGUUUCAAUCCUAGUCAAAUGGUAGGAUGAAGACUUUAAAUUUUGAAACUGGGAUCAUUUUUUGAAAAAGAGGGGAUAAAUAGAUGAAAGGAUGGGAAGAUUAUGAUUUUUUAAUCCUCAAACUGACCCUAUUUAAACCAUCAACCGCACACAAAAUAGGGAGAAAGAGGAGGAAACACAUUAGGAACAAACAGAAAAGAAAUAUCAACAAAUCCUAACAAAUUUCAAUAAAUCUUUUUUAUCAAAUUUCCAUACCCCUUACCUAUUAUCACCAACCCAACCAACAUAGACACUCCCAAAAAAAAAACACCCAAUAGUCACUUAGUCAAGCCACCCCAACUUAUUGAACCUAAAAAGUUCGAAGCACAAAAUAUAGCAUAUUUAAGAAUCAUUAGCAAAUAUUAUUUGCACUUGCCAAAUACAUAAAAAAGAAGAGGUAACAAUCACUGGUAACCCAAAUCGACAAUUGGCAAUAAAAAAUUCAACAAACAAAUAGCCAGCAAUCACAUUCCAUUUGUAACACACAAAGGCAAGACUCAAAGUCAGAUUACGUAGUAAAAUUCAAAGGGAAACCAGAAGGAAAGAAAGCAAAUCAGAAGCAAAAUCCCAUUAAGGAAAAAAACUAGUUUUACUUUACCUAAGACCCUUAAAGAUACCGUAGCAGCCGAACCUUACUCCACCAUACCACCAUCAUCCAUCUCCCAUCAGAAUUCACCCAUUGCUAGUAAAGCGCAUCAGUGAAAAUCCAAUAACAGAUCAAGUAAAGUCAGAAACUAAGGGAAAGUCAGAAAUAAGGAUUUUUUAGGUUUCCAAUAAGUACUCUUACCAAGGGUUUUUAGGGCUUUCAAGUCAUCAACAAGGCAACCUAGGAAAAGAGGAAGAACAUGUUGUGGAAUAGUGGCCAAAUGAGUAGCAUCAGGAGAGAUUCAAGCAUUUGAGUCCACGCUCUUAAAAUCUUGAUCUACAUAAAUGGAGACGUUUUUGUGGUAAACUAAAUACACCAUGUGAAAGAAGAGGCCAAAACAAUUUUCUGAGUGAAAUUUGGGCUUGAAUUGUCAUCAAUAACAGUGGUUGAAGGUGACCAGAGGGGCCAACGACGAUAGCGUUUCACCGGGGUUUAAAAACUUGUGGAGUUUCCAACCAACCUUCAUCCCUUCUUAGAAAGAGAGAGAGAGACCGAGUAGAAAUUGUAAAGUGAGGAAAAAACUUGUAAAAUGGAAAAUAAAGUUUAAAGGAAGGCUUUUAUAGCUUCGAUCAAGCGGUGCCAUUUUAACUAAAGAAAAUGGGUUCCUUUUGACCCAUUUCAAGGAUCCAUGCAUCAAAAUUGGGCAAUCCGAUCCAACCGCUUAGCCUGAUCUUCUGCCCAAUCCAGCUCUGUGCCAUUUGAGCU